This 73-nucleotide microRNA precursor is filed under the name Eptatretus burgeri (inshore hagfish). RNAcentral describes it as "Ebu-Let-7-P2o7_pre stem-loop". Lineage: Eukaryota; Metazoa; Chordata; Myxini; Myxiniformes; Myxinidae. The record is from RNAcentral.
UGAGGUAGUAGGUUGUAUUGUUCAAGGCCAAAGAUGUCGACAUUUGAGUUAACGGUACAACCUACUGCCUUCC